AUUGAACGCUGGCGGCAGGCCUAACACAUGCAAGUCGAGCGGAUGAAGGGAGCUUGCUCCUGGAUUCAGCGGCGGACGGGUGAGUAAUGCCUAGGAAUCUGCCUGGUAGUGGGGGAUAACGUCCGGAAACGGGCGCUAAUACCGCAUACGUCCUGAGGGAGAAAGUGGGGGAUCUUCGGACCUUACGCUAUCAGAUGAGCCUAGGCCGGAUUAGCUAGUUGGUGGGGUAAAGGCCUACCAAGGCGACGAUCCGUAACUGGUCUGAGAGGAUGAUCAGUCACACUGGAACUGAGACACGGUCCAGACUCCUACGGGAGGCAGCAGUGGGGAAUAUUGGACAAUGGGCGAAAGCCUGAUCCAGCCAUGCCGCGUGUGUGAAGAAGGUCUUCGGAUUGUAAAGCACUUUAAGUUGGGAGGAAGGGCAGUAAGUUAAUACCUUGCUGUUUUGACGUUACCAACAGAAUAAGCACCGGCUAACUUCGUG
This 484-nucleotide ribosomal RNA is filed under the name uncultured bacterium. RNAcentral describes it as "partial 16S ribosomal RNA". It matches the Rfam family "Bacterial small subunit ribosomal RNA", at positions 30 to 507 of the family's 1533-position model. The record is from RNAcentral.